Molecule: ribosomal RNA, 440 nt
Filed under: uncultured Fastidiosipila sp.
Lineage: Bacteria; Bacillati; Bacillota; Clostridia; Eubacteriales; Oscillospiraceae
Description: bacterial SSU rRNA
Rfam family: Bacterial small subunit ribosomal RNA
Source: RNAcentral
CCUACGGGGGGCUGCAGUGGGGAAUAUUGGGCAAUGGGGGCAACCCUGACCCAGCGACGCCGCGUGAAGGACGAAGGCAUUCGUGUUGUAAACUUCUUUGGAGAGGGACGAAAAUGACGGUACCUCUCGAACAAGCCACGGCUAACUACGUGCCAGCAGCCGCGGUAAUACGUAGGUGGCAAGCGUUAUCCGGAAUUACUGGGUGUAAAGGGCGCGCAGGCGGCCCUGCAAGUCGGAUGUGAAAGAUCAAGGCUCAACCUUGACAGGCCAUUCGAAACUGUGGGGCUUGAGUGUCAGAGGGGAAAGUGGAAUUCCUAGUGGAGCGGUAAAAUGCGCAGAUAUUAGGAGGAACACCGGUGGCGAAGGCGACUUUCUGGCUGACAACUGACGCUGAGGCGCGAAAGCGUGGGGAGCAAACAGGAUUAGAUACCCCGGUAGUC